RNAcentral lists this ribosomal RNA (549 nucleotides) under uncultured Glomus. RNAcentral's name for it is "SSU rRNA". It matches the Rfam family "Eukaryotic small subunit ribosomal RNA", at positions 548 to 1098 of the family's 1831-position model. The record is from RNAcentral. Lineage: Eukaryota; Fungi; Glomeromycota; Glomeromycetes; Glomerales; Glomeraceae.
UUGGAGGGCAAGUCUGGUGCCAGCAGCCGCGGUAAUUCCAGCUCCAAUAGCGUAUAUUAAAGUUGUUGCAGUUAAAAAGCUCGUAGUUGAAUUUCGGGAUCAAUUUGCUGGUCGUGCCUUCGGUACGUACUGGUAUUAUUGGUUUCUCCUUUCUGAUGAAUCGCGAUGUCAUUAAUUUGGUGUCGUGGGGAAUCAGGACUGUUACUUUGAAAAAAUUAGAGUGUUUAAAGCAGGCUCACGCUUGAAUACAUUAGCAUGGAAUAAUGAAAUAGGACGUUUGAUUCUAUUUUGUUGGUUUCUAGGAUCGACGUAAUGAUUAAUAGGGAUAGUUGGGGGCAUUAGUAUUCAAUCGUCAGAGGUGAAAUUCUUGGAUUUAUUGAAGACUAACUACUGCGAAAGCAUUUGCCAAGGAUGUUUUCAUUAAUCAAGAACGAAAGUUAGGGGAUCGAAGACGAUCAGAUACCGUCGUAGUCUUAACCAUAAACUAUGCCGACUAGGGAUCGGAUGAUGUUAAUUUUUUAAUGACUCAUUCGGCGCCUUACGGGAAAC